AAAAGGCGACCGGCUUCGAGGCCUCCCCGCGCUUCGCGCUCUCCGCCUACCCGUACGGCAGCGCCCGUCCGCCUUCUCCCGUACUUUCCGCCUUCUCUCGCCCUGUUGCCUGUUCCGUCCGACAUCCCGUCCGCCUUCUCCCGUCCGAUAGGCAUGGCGCUCGCGGGCUCUUCCUCGCUCUCUCUUCUGCUUUACCUCUCUCUGGCUAUUAUAAAUACUAAACGGUUUGAUAUUUUUUUUUCCGUCUUUUUCUCUAAUCUUUCCUGAUUUUUAUCCCCUGUUUUUUAUCACUGUUGUUCCGUCGUUCUUGCCUUGUGGUGCGCAUAGGUGCGAACGAGUGCGGGCGGGCGAGCGGAGGAGGGCGCGUGCGGGAGCGGCGCGCGGGAGCGAGCCGGGGCGCGAGCGGGCGCCCGGAGCGGGUCAGUCGCAGGGGGCAGCAGGUGCAGGCUCGAGCGUGCGAGGGCGUGAGCGAGUGCCGGGCGCGAGUCGCUCGCAGCGAACAGCACGUGCGGGCGUGCCCGGGGGCCAGGCGCGGGUCGCUCGCAGGGGGCAGCACGUGCGAGCGCAGCGUGGGCGGGCAGCUCUCCUUCCCCCUCUUCCCCCACCCCUCUCCGAAGAAACAUUGAGUUAACAAACAACUGAGAGUGAUUGUUUUUAGUGUCACCCUUUCCUCAUUCUCUGUCUCUUGCACUCCAAGUGUUUGAUGAAUUGGCUCUGCAGUGGUGAAGUUGCUUUGGUCUGAGCUUAUUAUCUGGAGGAUUAUGGCUUUAUCUUUCAUAGCCGAAUCGGUGGCGUCGGCGAUCAUUGAGGCGUGCCCAGCGGCUGGCGGCAUGCAGGAAAAUCCUCCUGAAUUUGGAGAAAUUCAGAAGCUGGGUAAUCAAAAACCUCGAAAUUACUACGUAAAUGGAUCAAUGAGGGAUUGAGCACUUCCUUCGAUCUCUUCUCCACAUUCGAUUGCGGCCUUGAUGGGAGCUUCACAUGUAGAAGUGUUUGCUUCUAUACAGAGAGGUCGCGUCAGAGAAGAAUGAAAUCGCACAAGGAGAGAGAAGGAGCAAUUGCAGCAAUGUGUGGGAGAUUGAGAAAGAUUUGAUGAUGGAGAAUGCGGCUGAAGUAGGGGAUGAUCAGGGAUCGGGUUGGUUUGAAGUGAAAAGAAACACAGAAGCAGCUCAAAGCUCUCAAUACAAAAGGCUUCUAGGGCAAUGUUUUGUCUAUUGUUGGUUACUUUGCUUGCACCUGAAUGUGAUAAGAAUAUGAACCUUCUAUUCCCCGAGACUUUUGUCUUUCCUGCUUUCCUCACUUUGGAUGGCUUACUUCGUCAGCAACCGGUUGUUCUCAUUUGUGCUAGGAAUAGUUUCGGCGUGUGCAUGGUUUCUAGCUCGGUCAGCACUACUAAUCAGGAAGGCUUCGCUGCCAAUCUAAUAAUGCUCGAUCACUAGGGGAGUGUGAGCAAAAUUUAUUUAUUUAUUUCCAUACCUACUCAUGUUUGCUGCUCCUCUUCACUUUUCUCUUCUUUGUAAACAUUGUUUUCAUGUUUUUUUAAGCUAUUGGGAUUUCCCCAAACUGUAUCUUUGGCUUUGAUUUGUCAAAUAUGUGUUUUCGCCUUGCUUUUACCUGCA
Ananas comosus (pineapple) is the source of this 1616-nucleotide long non-coding RNA. RefSeq lists it as uncharacterized. The record is from RefSeq and is a predicted model, not a curated record. Lineage: Eukaryota; Viridiplantae; Streptophyta; Magnoliopsida; Poales; Bromeliaceae. The transcript is spliced from 3 exons.